This 65-nucleotide transfer RNA is filed under the name Trapelus mutabilis pallidus. RNAcentral's name for it is "Isoleucine tRNA". Lineage: Eukaryota; Metazoa; Chordata; Lepidosauria; Squamata; Agamidae. The record is from RNAcentral.
AGAAGUGUGCCCGAGAAUUUAGGGACUAUUUUGAUAGAGUAGGCACAGAGAAAACUCUCACUUCC